ACCAUUUCUUAUUAUUAUUUAUUUUGGCGGCAGGAUGGAGUCCUGUUUAAUAUUAGCACAUUGUUAAACAUUGAAUACUAAUAACAAGCCACCGAGUGAGAAGACUUAUAACAUGACAGUGUUUUAGAUGUCGAAGCCAAGGAAAAUCUAGACGCACCGCACGCAAGUCUUACAACCGAUAUCCCGAUGCUGCUGUUGCAGAAAGGAAGUCAAAAGUACUUGAAAUCAUGCUAGCAAUAUCUAACGUUGAGGUUCAAGAUGAUCAAAUUAAAGGAGAUUCAUCUCAAGUCUUGCACCCAGAAUCUCACGAUGUUAUAGUUAAAGUAGACAAAAGUGGUACCUUUGUUUUCCCUGUAUCAUUUAAAAUAUUUGAAAAGUAUCUUAACAAGGCUGUGCUUUUUGACCAGAUCGCCAAAAGCAGGGAAAAGUGCAUGGAACUUCUGGUUGACGACAAUUAUCGACUGCUCACGCUUCGAAAGUUCUACAACCUCUUUUACAUGUUUCCAGAAACAGAAUCCAGGGCGCACUUCUUUAAAGAUUUGCCAGGGAUCCCUUUAAGUACGUUAGUUAAACUUGGCCAACCGCAGGAUGAAAAGGCAUAUAAUACUGUCGCGGAGUAUGCAGCAAAGAAGUCCCUGGAAGACAACUCUAUCGUCAGUUUUAAAGUGUUCCAGAAAAAUAUCUUGAAUCUAUCAGACAUUGUGGAGGAGAUGAAGCAGCUUGAUAAUAAUUAUUUAAGCAAAGACUUUCGGGAGUGUGCCCUCGACUACUACCUGGCAUUUUACAUUACACCGGAGAUCCGCGAAAUGUACGCCUAUAAACUGCGAUCGAAUACAAAUGCCAUGAAGACCCGCCUAUUGGCCAUCCUAAAUGAAGAGGUGGCAGAUGAACUGAGGAAAAACCUGCGGCAGUUGGCUAAUCCUUCGCCAGCACUCAAAUUGCGUAGGUCCAAGACUCCCGAAAAGUCAACUGGCGAAGAUAAAAGUGCGGGUGAUAAUCAACUAAAAUCUAAGACAUCCGAAGAGUCUGUUAAAGUACCAGCUAUACCCAGCAUAGAGAUUGCCGACGAGAUCGGGCAAAUCAUGCCCCAGUUGCCUAUUUCUUCCCCAGGACUCAAACUGCGUAAGCCCAAAACUCCAAAAAAGACUGCUACUGAAGAUAAAAGUGUAAAGGAUAAUCACUUAAAAUCUUUGUCAACCGAAGAGUCUCUCCAAGUACCAACCAUUCCCAGCAUACCGAUGGCCGACGAGAUCGGGCAAAUGCUACCGCAGUUGCCUAUUUUUUCCCCAGGACGCAGACUGCGUAGGUCUAAGACUCCCGAAAAGACUGGUGCUGAAGAUAAAAGUGUAAAUCUCGUAAAAUCUUUGACAACCGAAGAGUCCAUCCAAGUACCAACUAUUCCCAGCAUACAGGUUGCCUACGAGAUCGGACAAAUCCUGCCGCAGUUGAGUACUCCUCAGCCAGCACUCAGAUUGCGUAGGUCAAAGACUCCGGAGAGAUCUGAACACCAGUCAGAAAGUGGAAAAGAAAAUAAAAUGAAAACCAUAGAGAGUCUUCCCUUUGAAACCGAUGUACAAAUUAAUAUUGGAAAAAGAGGACGCUUUAUAUUUCCGGUUUCUUUUAAAACUUUUCGUAGUUAUAUAAAUUACAAAGAUAUAAUCCGCCCCAUUCUUAUGAAAGAACUUACUCAAAAUGAAGCUGAACUAGCAGACUUGAUUGCUGAUCCCUCGAAUCCGCAAUGCAAGAAAGUUUUCCUUCAGUAUUACUAUAAAUUCUAUGCACGCCACGAUGUUCGCCAAAGGUAUGCAUAUAAAUUUAACUGCCCUGAUCCAAAAAUGCUAGCCAAGAUACUAGAACCCGCUAAACCGUUGGAUGAGAAAGCCAUGCAAACCGUAUCCCGCACCACUGCACCUCAAGUUGAAGGCAAAAGUCCAAAUAAAACCAAAGAUCAGGUCGCUUCCACUCUUGAAAAGCCCGCAAAAGAGUCUCCAUCAAAUCCAAUAUCUUUUGAAAUAUUCAAAAGUCGUGUUACGGUUACGGUUACCGACACCACUUAUAUGGACAAUAAAACCGUAGAUAAUGCAAAGGAAAGCGAAUUAAUACCUGAAUGCGAAAAUAAAGUGACUGGGAAAACGGAGAUUUGUACUAACAAAAAACCAAGAGAGAAGAGUGGACUUAAUCCAAUAACUUUUGAAAUGUUCAAACGUCGUGUGAGCAAUAUGGACGAAAUUGUAAAUAAAAUGCUGCUGUGCGAUGAGUAUAAAGGAAAAUCCAAGGAGAUGGUUUUUUACGACUAUUACGAAGGCUUCUAUUCUGGACCAGAGAUGCGGGAAAAAUUCGAGUGCCGAUUUAAGCCAUGUCCUAGCAAGAAGCUACAAAUUUUGCUUAGUUUUCCACCAAAUAAUGAAAAAGAAUGUCGAAAGGAAACAGAUUGCCAAGUUUGUACCUCAAAUGAACUAUGUGAGGUAGGUCAGCAGGAGUUGGCCAUUCCCAGGAGUAUUGAGAAGAACACCGAAGAUGUCGCCAAGGAAAGUGAGCAAAUAACUGAGCACCAAGCGAAAGUGACCACGGAGCCUGGGGCUUUUCAAAACCAGUCGCAUACAGAGCCUCAGGCGAUGCCUAAUGCUGCCUCCUCUAAAGCUGCCACUGUGCCGGACCUGGAGAGCCAAGGCCCAAUUGAGCGAAGUGAAUUACAAAAUAAACAAACAGUUGCAAAGUCGGCUAGCAUUUCGGACAUAUGUAAUGCCGAGAGGAUAGCAGAACUAGCUCGCAAAAGAAAGAUAGAUGUGGGUAAGUACGAACCCCAUAAUUUUUAUCAAUAUUUAUUUGCUGGUAGCACUUGCCCGAAAAAACAAGAUUAUCUUAAACAAAAAUAUAAAAUUUAUUGUUCAGCUCAAGAAAAGAAUUUAAAAGAAAAUGAGCCGGUAUCAACUUCAAGUGUUGAAAAAGUCAGCAGUGAUCCUGCAAUACCAGUUACCACACAAGAAGACAAAGUGCUGGAAACUGUUUCUAAUGAGAAUAGUUCAAGGCUAUCAGAAGUUAAAGAAAACAGCUCAAUUAUUUCAAAUAUAACCAUUAAAAAUGCAGUGCAGGCGAGUACUAAAAAUGUCGAGGCUGAUUCAUCCAAUAAUCCAAGAAGUUCUCCGCGUCCGAAGAGUCCAUCAGAAAGCUCUGAAGGAGCAACAAGUUCAACACAAAGUUCAGACACCCAAAUCCUUCUUGAAAAAGCAAAGGCAAUAUUUUUCGCCGAAACUGAACCGCAUCAUAAACUUAAAUACUUACUCUACACAAGUCAAGGCCUAAUGGGAUCCCUUUGGCGUAUACUCAACCAACUAACUCUUGAUGAAUUCGCCAAAUACACGAACAUCCACGACGGAGGGGACUUGUAUUUAAGCGAUGAAGAUUUGCAGCUUUGCUUUCAGCACGUUGUGACUUAUGGAAACUGGCCAGUAAACCUUUGUAUCCAAUUGCCAUAUUUGAAGAGGCUAUUCCAUAAAAAAGAAGGAGUAUAUCUGAACAAGCUAGAACUGGCCCAGCUAUCUCCAAAAAUAGUGGAUGCUUGGGAGUUAAGUUGCUACUCGGAUUUCGAUAAAAUCGUUGAACAACACUACACCAAUCGGACUGGCAAGAAAAUUGAAGAUGUGGUGCAUCUGUGUCAAGAGAGGGAAAAACUUUAUGCAUCCUGCUGGACACACAAUCAGUGGAUACCCUUGGCACCUCAGAUAACGGAUGAGACACUGAAUGCUGAACUUGAAGAAGUGAUGCCUAUUCUCGAUGAAAUUACAUUAAAGCCAAUAAGUGAUAUAAGUGGCGAAGUUGGUAAUGUCCUAACCGAGACUGUCUUAAUCUCCUCAAGUGCAGAUUCUGGUUCUGAGUCCUCUCAGCUCGAGAAAACGAAUUUUGUGGAUGUGAUGGGUGUGGCCCAAGCUUCCCAAGUACCACAAAUGGCUUGGGAUCCACUGAUUUCCGAGGAUCCUGGGGAUUUGCUUCCAGUGGUAAAGUCGACGGAAUUGGUCUCGGUCAAGCGGGAAUCCAUUGCAUUACCUACCAAUCUACGUGUAAUUUGCGAGAGCGAUGAUUGCCAAUGGGAAGAUAUUACGCCCGAGGACCAAAUAAUAGAUUUGGAUGCUAGCCAAAACGAGGGAUCGACCUUGUCUUGCUUUGAUAUCCCGAAUUCAAAAAAUCAAGAUUCGGAGGAAAUGGUCGAGUUGUUGCUAAGUAAUACCAACCUGUCGGAAGAUGAUGGCCCUGUCGGAAACGUUAUAGAGCUGGAAGCCUCAGCCGCUAAGGAAUUGGUGAUUAAUGCACCGACGCCAGCGUUCAAUAUUCCUGUUAAUCCGACAAAACGGCGGGCACCCAGCCCAGGAUUAAAAUGUAAGCGAUAUAAACUGAUGAACGACAAGGUGCCGCAGCUUAGGCACGAGUUCCAAUCGUUACCAAUGGGCGUGAUGGUGCGUCUUGAAUCAGGGCAGGAGAACAACACAGAUUCUCCAAAUACCAUGGCGAUACAACCUGUGAAGCCUACAAACAUGCCAACGCCUGAACCAGCUGAGACCCACAUCACUCCUUCGCAGGACUUCGCCGUCGGCAACGAACUUUUAGAUUGCACUGAACUGAAGGGACUGCUGGAUUCCACGAAUGUCAACACUCGAAAGAGACGUUAAAUGCAGCUGUAAAUCAAUUUAUUAAUUGUUUGUAUAAAUGAAGUACAUAUGUAUUUUUGUGAUCAGAGGAUCUAAUUAAGCUAUAAGAAUAAAGUAACUAUCCUGGCAAAGAGGAGCAUAAAUGUACAAGACUAAUUCUAAAAAUGAUACAUUGGAUUAUAAACGUCUUGAUGCCGCAGAUGACGAAUGCGGUGGAGAUCUCUAUUGCAAUUGAUGCUAUAUGGAUUUCCACAAUUAUGAUAAGGAUUACCACUCGCGUUAAGUAGAAAUAUUUUUCAUCUCCAAAAAUUGUUAAAGAUUACUUGGCUGUAAUCUAAACAUUGUUAACAACAAAAUAUGAUUUGUUGUGCUAGCUUGCUCAUAUCUAUGCGAAGUAUAUUGCUGUUUCAUUUUUGAAUGAUAGGGACCAAAAACCUUUGGACGUUAGUGACACAACCUACAAGGCAGGUGCGAAUGGUGAGGAUUCCGAGGUAAAACGCUAUCUAUGUGUGACAAUCUUAUGUUUUUGAAUUACAUUUUCCGAUUCGAAGGUCAGAAAAAACUUUGCAGUAGGAAGUCAGACGAAAAGUUCCAAUAUUUUGUAAAGGAAUUUAGUUCUCUGCCAAAAUAGUAAAACAACGCUUGUCUCGUUUAAGUUUAAAACCAAUCUAUCACAUUUAUUUUGGAGAUCUACUAGGAAUUAAAAUACAAGCUCAACAAGGUAUGGCAUUUUAUAUUUGGACCAUUAUAGCCUUAGUUAAGGACAAAACACUACAAUUUUUGGGCUGAAAUCGGGAUUAACACAAAAAGCAUUUUCGAUUUUUGUAAAGAAAAUUAAAGAAUUCAUUUGAAUUCUAACGUUUUUUUAAGCCAGUAUAAAUUUAAAGAUCAACGGCUAUGUAAAAUGUAAGUUAAAUGUCAAAUGUAGUGAAAAUGUAAAGUGCAAUGUCAAAUGUAGGGAAAAAUGUAAAGUUCAAUGACAAGUGAAAUUUACAAAUUUUGUGCAUCUAGGGUACAUAUAAUUCCCAACUUAUUCUAGCCCAACAGUAAUGAGGUACUCUCUGUGGCCAUCCGAAAAAUUAGUUAACUCAUUUUCAAGUGUGUGUGUUUGUGUUAGUACAGUGCUUCCAAGUGGUCUAAUGGCAUCCUCCAUCAAAUUGGUGGUACCUGGUCACCAGGAAGAUGCAGUGCAUCAUGGAUUUUUUUCGGAAAUCCAUAUUUUUGAUUUUUGAUGACAUGUGAAGCUGGAUACAUACGACGAUGCCUAC
Drosophila eugracilis is the source of this 5911-nucleotide RNA transcript. It is a transcript of the gene named protein telomere ends associated, with no coding region annotated. The record is from RefSeq and is a predicted model, not a curated record. The transcript is spliced from 13 exons. NCBI's taxonomy places the organism in Eukaryota, Metazoa, Arthropoda, Insecta, Diptera, Drosophilidae.